Molecule: non-coding RNA, 266 nt
Filed under: Alicyclobacillus hesperidum
Lineage: Bacteria; Bacillati; Bacillota; Bacilli; Caryophanales; Alicyclobacillaceae
Description: T-box sequence
Rfam family: T-box leader
About the family: Uncharged tRNA acts as the effector for transcription antitermination of genes in the T-box leader family.
Source: RNAcentral
GUUGCGGCGAUGAUGAGGAGAGUAAAUCGUCUUGCGUUCUCCAGGGAGGCGCACCAGGACUGGAAGUGUGCUGAAUGCGAGCGAUUGAAGUUCACCUUGGAGCUGUGAGGCUGAACGUUAUGGUGGCUGGGAUCGCCAUAUUUCAGUAGGCCUCACCGGAUCGAAACGCCCUUUGGAUUGUACACCGGGAAGAUCCGUUAUGGAAAUGAAGGCGGACGGCACUUUGCCGUCAAUUAGGGUGGUAUCGCGAGCAACUCGUCCCUAGC